ACAAUAGCACAAAGCUGCCCCAGGGAAGGGUCCUCUUCCAAGCUUGCUCAGUGGCUGUGGGCUGGAUUGAGCUCUUCACUAGCUACUGAACUGAGGGCCUCAGUUUCUCAGAGGCUGUUACCCAAAGGCCUCCCUCAGCUCCCUGCCAUAUGGGCCUCUCCACAGGGCAACUCACCAUAUGGUGGCUGGCUUCACCAGAGCAAGCAAACAAGAAGAGCCCGAGAGAAGACUAACAAGCUGGAAGUCACCAUCCGUCCAACCUAAUCUCGGAAGUGACAUCUCAUCACUCUUGCUGUAUUCUAUCAGGUAGAAGCAAGUCACCAGGUCCAGCCCACCUGCAAGGGGAGGGAAGAGCAAAGCUGUGACCACCAAGAGGAGGAAGAAAUGAUGUCUUCCGGGGAGGCUGCCGGGGCUUCUGUGAGGUCCAGCAAUGAGUUGGAGGCACCAGCACUGCACUGAAAUCAAUGUCUCCCAAGACGGAGAAUGCCUGGGGAGGCAGGAGCUCCGCUCCCCUGCAGGAACCUCCCAAGAAGGACCCGAGCGUCCCCGCAGCCUGGAGACUGGCCGUCUGCGGUUGAGCACCCGGGACCUGCUCCAGGUGCUUCUUGGCCAUAUUUACUUCCCCGGCUCCGGGUGCGUCAGGCCGACUGCCCACGUGCAGCUGGGUUUCCUCUGUUUAGCUGCAUCCACAGGGGUCAUGUAUCCGUAUCGGUCUUUCUAAGGGGAGCUCUGUGGUUUUAUUCAUUCAUUCAUUCAUUCAUUCACCCACGCAUCUACUGAGCACCUACUACAUAUCAUGAACUGUCCUAGGCACUAAUGAAUAACACCAAACGUGCUCAUUGUAA
Homo sapiens (human) is the source of this 845-nucleotide long non-coding RNA. RefSeq lists it as uncharacterized. NCBI's taxonomy places the organism in Eukaryota, Metazoa, Chordata, Mammalia, Primates, Hominidae. The record is from RefSeq and is a predicted model, not a curated record. The transcript is spliced from 2 exons.